AGGGCGCAGUUCGGCUGGGCCUCGCACAGGUGCUGCAUGGCUGUCGUCAGCUCGUGUCGUGAGAUGUUGGGUUAAGUCCCGCAACGAGCGCAACCCUCAUCCUUAGUUACCAGCGGGUAAUGCCGGGCACUUUAAGGAAACUGCCAGUGAUAAACUGGAGGAAGGUGGGGAUGAUGUCAAGUCAGCACGGCCCUUAUGGGGUGGGCUACACACGUGCUACAAUGGCGACUACAAUAGGUUGCAACGUCGCAAGGCUGAGCUAAUCCGUAAAAGUCGUCUCAGUUCGGAUUGUCCUCUGUAACUCGAGGGCAUGAAGUCGGAAUCGCUAGUAAUCGUGGAUCAGCAUGCCACGGUGAAUACGUUCUCGGGUCUUGUACACACUGCCCGUCACGCCAUGGGAAUUGGCUUAACUCGAAGCUGGUGCGCCAACCGUAAGGAGGCAGCCAUUUAAGGUUGGGUCGGUGACUGGGGUGAAGUCGUAACAAGGUAGCUGUAGGUGAACCUGCGGCUGGAUCA
RNAcentral lists this ribosomal RNA (516 nucleotides) under Anaplasma marginale. RNAcentral's name for it is "bacterial SSU rRNA". It matches the Rfam family "Bacterial small subunit ribosomal RNA", at positions 1006 to 1525 of the family's 1533-position model. The record is from RNAcentral. Lineage: Bacteria; Pseudomonadati; Pseudomonadota; Alphaproteobacteria; Rickettsiales; Anaplasmataceae.